Molecule: ribosomal RNA, 253 nt
Filed under: uncultured bacterium
Lineage: Bacteria
Description: partial 16S ribosomal RNA
Rfam family: Bacterial small subunit ribosomal RNA
Source: RNAcentral
UACGUAGGGUGCAAGCGUUAAUCGGAAUUACUGGGCGUAAAGCGUGCGCAGGCGGUUUUGUAAGUCUGACGUGAAAUCCCCGAGCUCAACCUGGGAAUUGCGUUGGAGACUGCAAGGCUAGAAUCUGGCAGAGGGGGGUAGAAUUCCACGUGUAGCAGUGAAAUGCGUAGAGAUGUGGAGGAACACCGAUGGCGAAGGCAGCCCCCUGGGUCAAGAUUGACGCUCAUGCACGAAAGCGUGGGGAGCAAACAGG